UCCUACGGGGGCAGCAGUGAGGAAUAUUGGUCAAUGGGCGCGAGCCUGAACCAGCCAAGUCGCGUGAGGGAGGACGGCCCUACGGGUUGUAAACCUCUUUUGCCGGGGAGCAACGGGCGUCACGUGUGGCGCCACUGAGAGUACCCGGAGAAAAAGCAUCGGCUAACUCCGUGCCAGCAGCCGCGGUAAUACGGAGAAUGCGAGCGUUAUCCGGAUUUAUUGGGUUUAAAGGGUGCGGAGGCGGGCUUUUAAGUCAGCGGUAAAAAUUCGGGGCUCAACCCCGUCCGGCCUUUGAAACUGGGGGG
Molecule: ribosomal RNA, 305 nt
Filed under: uncultured bacterium
Lineage: Bacteria
Description: bacterial SSU rRNA
Rfam family: Bacterial small subunit ribosomal RNA
Source: RNAcentral